Molecule: ribosomal RNA, 483 nt
Filed under: uncultured bacterium
Lineage: Bacteria
Description: partial 16S ribosomal RNA
Rfam family: Bacterial small subunit ribosomal RNA
Source: RNAcentral
GACGAACGCUGGCGGCGUGCUUAACACAUGCAAGUCGAACGAUGAAGCUGGAGCUUGCUCCGGUGGAUUAGUGGCGAACGGGUGAGUAACACGUGAGCAAUCUGCCCUUGACUCUGGGAUAACUGCGGGAAACUGUAGCUAAUACCGGAUACGAGAUUUGGAGGCAUCUCCGGUUCUGGAAAGAAUUUCGGUCAAGGAUGAGCUCGCGGCCUAUCAGCUUGUUGGUGAGGUAAUGGCUCACCAAGGCGACGACGGGUAGCCGGCCUGAGAGGGUGACCGGACACACUGGGACUGAGACACGGCACAGACUCCUACGGGAGGCAGCAGUGGGGAAUAUUGCACAAUGGGCGAAAGCCUGAUGCAGCAACGCCGCGUGAGGGAUGAAGGCCUUCGGGUUGUAAACCUCUUUUAGUAGGGAAGAAGCGAAAGUGACGGUACCUACAGAAAAAGCACCGGCUAACUACGUGCCAGCAGCCGCGGUAA